UGAACUUAAACCUGUGGAGCAGAAACCUAACUUUUUCAGCCUCGAAAACUGUUAAUAAAGAAUGCAGUUUAUUUGAAGAUCAUGUUAAAUGUUUGCCACUGAGUUCAGUGCUUUCUGUUUCAUUGCCUUUUUCUUCUUUCUCAUUGUAUAUUUUUGUUUGUUUCUCGAAAAGUUCCGUACAAUACUUUUGGCACAAAUUUAAUCCCAUAUUAUAACGUAAGUGAGAAGAGGAACUGACUUAUUUUAUGGACGUUCCACAACAAUAAUGCAACUAUACAUGGAUAAAAUGUAUUUAAUUAGUAAAAAUGUAACUGUUAGGAAAUUGCUGUAGUAUAUAAAGAUUAUGUUAUUAUUGGCAAAGAAUCAACUAUUGAGUGGUAACAGGAUCACACCACCUCGUCAUUGAUUAUUUUUCUUUCACAGCACUGUUUUAUUUCUUAAUUAUAACGAUGUUAUGUUUCCAGAUUUAUUAUACUACAGUCUGGUCAUGUUUAUGAUCCAUACUGUGUAAAGAACACCAGCAAUCUGUGAUGGUAAAGACUCUCUUACACUCAGAUUAUAAUGCAAUGAGCUUUUUUGGCAAACAUUUUAAACCUUAGUCAUUGUACGUUCUGUUCAAGAACAUCAUGAAACACCAAUGGGACUCUUUGAUGACAUGCUAAAACCUUAGCAUUACACAUAUCUGAACCGCUCUGCUUGGACUAGCUGUUACACUGCAUGUUAAAGCAUGGCAUGAUCUACUGCAUUUCAGAAAAUGUGACAAAAGUUGUAGCAGCCGCUCACAAGCAUGAACCAGAGGCAUCGAGCCCCAGGAGUUUUAGGGCCAUCUGUGACUCCAUAUAUCUUGUGCUUAUGCAAAGACAGAGGCCCUUUGCCCUGGGACAGGAAGCUCAGGCUGCACUCAGCCCAUCGCUAACACAUCUCACAACAGCCUGAGUUAUGUAGCGUCCCCGUCAUCUGCCGAGUCUCAACAGCUGGACUGACAAUUGUUGAACAGCGGAGACAGCGGUGGGAAGCUCUUUGGAAGCAAGGACAUCACAUCGCCAUGAGUGAGGAGUUGCAAGCCAAGGGAAGACGAGAAGGAAAAAGAAGGAGGGGAUGAGGAGAGGAGGGCGCUCGAUACAAAGGAGAAGCCUGGGUUAAGUCAUGAGCGGCAGACGACAUAGGUUGGAUUUUUAACAGAUGAGAUCACAUCCUUUUGCCUGAGAGGCUGAGAGUAUCAUCCUCGUUCAGACAGCUGAGCGCACUCGGCACAAAGCAGGGCAGCAGUCACUAAAACACACAUGCAGACACCCUGCUUCAUAUGCGUACUGUAUGUAAAAACAUACACACACUUGUACACUCACAAACAUGUCCACAUAUUAG
This is a long non-coding RNA of Ictalurus punctatus (channel catfish), 1365 nucleotides long. NCBI's taxonomy places the organism in Eukaryota, Metazoa, Chordata, Actinopteri, Siluriformes, Ictaluridae. The record is from Ensembl.